This is a small nuclear RNA of Rhododendron vialii, 162 nucleotides long. RefSeq annotates it as U1 spliceosomal RNA. NCBI's taxonomy places the organism in Eukaryota, Viridiplantae, Streptophyta, Magnoliopsida, Ericales, Ericaceae. The record is from RefSeq and is a predicted model, not a curated record. The transcript has a single exon.
AUACUUACCCGGAUGGGGUUAAAUGGAUGAUCAACAAGGCUCAUGACCUAGGUUUGCAAUCUCCAUUGCACUCAGGAGGGAUGCUCGGCUAAGGUCCACCCACGUGGUGGAGCCUACGUCAUAAUUUUUGGAAGUGGGGGCUUGCGUUCCCGUGGCCCCACA